This 455-nucleotide ribosomal RNA is filed under the name uncultured bacterium. RNAcentral's name for it is "bacterial SSU rRNA". It matches the Rfam family "Bacterial small subunit ribosomal RNA", at positions 349 to 793 of the family's 1533-position model. The record is from RNAcentral.
CAGCAGUGGGGGAAUAUUGCACAAUGGGCGCAAGCCUGAUGCAGCCAUGCCGUCGUGUAUGAAGAAGGCCUUCGGGUUGUAAAGUACUUUCAGCAGUGAGGAAGGUGGUGCAGUUAAUAGCUGUAUCAUUUGACGUUAGCUGCAGAAGAAGCACCGGCUAACUCCGUGCCAGCAGCCGCGGUAAUACGGAGGGUGCGAGCGUUAAUCGGAAUUACUGGGCGUAAAGCGCAUGCAGGUGGUUUGUUAAGUCAGAUGUGAAAGCCCGGGGCUCAACCUCGGAAUUGCAUUUGAAACUGGCAGACUAGAGUACUGUAGAGGGGGGUAGGAAUUUCAGGUGUAGCGGUGAAAUGCGUAGAGAUCUGAAGGAAUACCGGUGGCGAAGGCGGCCCCCUCGGACAGAUACUGACACUCAGAUGCGAAAGCGUGGGGAGCAAACAGGAUUAGAUACCCUGUAG